RNAcentral lists this transfer RNA (73 nucleotides) under Thermoplasmata archaeon. RNAcentral's name for it is "tRNA-Thr". It matches the Rfam family "tRNA". From Rfam's summary of the family: Transfer RNA (tRNA) molecules are approximately 80 nucleotides in length. The record is from RNAcentral. Lineage: Archaea; Methanobacteriati; Thermoplasmatota; Thermoplasmata. RNAcentral also lists the same sequence under 1 other name.
GCCACCAAGGUCCACAUGGUUGGGACACCCGCCUGGUACGCGGGAGGGCAGGGUUCGAUUCCCUGUGGUGGCU